Perca flavescens (yellow perch) is the source of this 997-nucleotide long non-coding RNA. RefSeq lists it as uncharacterized. The record is from RefSeq and is a predicted model, not a curated record. NCBI's taxonomy places the organism in Eukaryota, Metazoa, Chordata, Actinopteri, Perciformes, Percidae. The transcript is spliced from 4 exons.
CAUGUCUGAUAGUGUAGUGGUAGUGUUGUCAGAAGAUGAAGAACAAUUCCUGCUGACCUCAACACCUCUGCCUCUGUCCAAGAACAAUUUUCACCAUCCCUAAGUACACCUGGAGGCCUCAAUACCAGCGUCAGCAGCAUUGAAGCUGUAGGUGAAACUGAAAGCUAUCAGCCUGAGUCAACCAUCACCCCCACAUCAAUAUCAUCAUCAGAUUAUGAAGGUCUGGCGUGAAAAGAAGCUAUUUGUCAAUGAAUCCAGCCUCAUGUCACUCUUCAAAUUUUGCCAGAUGUGCGGGAAACCAAUUUCGUCAAAGACUAUCGUUGACUUUGGGGCACAGAGGAAGGUGGAUUGGACAUGUCUUGGGGACCAUUCUGGGACUUGGACUUCUUCACCUGACGUUAGGGGAAUGCCAGAGGUGAACCUCCUUGCAGCAGCAGCUAUUCUGUUCAGGGGGUGCACAUACACAGAAAUCUCAGACUGGUGCAAGACCAUGGGUGUCCAAAUGAUGGGACAGACUACAUUUUACAACAUCCAGAAGGUAUACCUGCACCCUGCUAUCGAGGAAGUGUAUAGUAAAAAAAGAACAGAACUCUUGGAGUGUAUUUAGAACAGGAGGAUGGAUGGGAAGAGGCCGCACUUGACGGGUGAUGGCUGAUGUGACACGCCAGGUUUCAGUGCAAAAUACUGCCAUUACACCUUUAUGUCAGAUGACACAAAGGAGAUACUCCACAUAGAACUGGUGCAGGUUACUGAGGCCACCAGCUCUGUUACCAUGGAACCACUGGCUUUCAAAAGGUGCAUGACUGAACUGAUAGACCAGGGCCUUGAUGUGGAGGUGAUGGCCACAGAUCACUCCACAUCUAUUCAAAAAAUAAUGAGGAAACAAUUUCCUAAUCUCCAACAUGAGUUUGACAUCUGGCACACAGCCAAAGGUUUCCAGAAGAUGCAGAAGAAGGGGAAGAAAAAAGGCCAAUGAAAUCCUCCUUGCAUGGAACAG